RNAcentral lists this ribosomal RNA (894 nucleotides) under uncultured bacterium. RNAcentral describes it as "bacterial SSU rRNA". It matches the Rfam family "Bacterial small subunit ribosomal RNA", at positions 8 to 916 of the family's 1533-position model. The record is from RNAcentral.
AGAGUUUGAUCCUGGCUCAGGACGAACGCUGGCGGCGCGCCUAAAACAUGCAAGUCGAACGAGAAGCCCGGGCUUGCCCGGGUGGACAGUGGCGAACGGGUGAGUAACACGUGAGGAACCUGCCCCGAAGACCGGGACAACAUCGGGAAACCGUUGCUAAUACCGGAUGCCCUCGAAGAAUCGCAUGGUUCAUCGAGGAAAUGGAUUCCGCUUCGGGAUGGCCUCGCGGCCUAUCAGCUUGUUGGUGAGGUAACGGCUCACCAAGGCUUCGACGGGUAGCUGGUCUGAGAGGAUGUCCAGCCACACUGGGACUGAGACACGGCCCAGACUCCUACGGGAGGCAGCAGUUAGGAAUCUUGCGCAAUGGACGAAAGUCUGACGCAGCGACGCCGCGUGCGGGAUGAAGGCCCUCGGGUUGUAAACCGCUUUCAGCAGGGACGAAAUUGACGGUACCUGCAGAAGAAGCCCCGGCCAACUACGUGCCAGCAGCCGCGGUAAUACGUAGGGGGCUAGCGUUGUCCGGAUUUAUUGGGCGUAAAGAGCUCGUAGGUGGUUCGGUAAGUCGGAUGUGAAAUCUCCAGGCUCAACCUGGAGGGGUCAUUCGAUACUGCCGUGACUAGAGUUCGGUAGAGGAGUGUGGAAUUCCUGGUGGAGCGGUGAAAUGCGCAGAGAUCAGGAGGAACACCCGUAGCGAAGGCGGCACUCUGGGCCGAUACUGACACUGAGGAGCGAAAGCGUGGGGAGCGAACAGGAUUAGAUACCCUGGUAGUCCACGCCGUAAACGUUGGGCACUAGGUGUGGGGUUCUAUCGACGGAUUCCGUGCCGUAGCUAACGCAUUAAGUGCCCCGCCUGGGGAGUACGGCCGCAAGGCUAAAACUCAAAGGAAUUGACGG